Daldinia bambusicola is the source of this 100-nucleotide non-coding RNA. The record is from the annotation of a GenBank genome assembly. Lineage: Eukaryota; Fungi; Ascomycota; Sordariomycetes; Xylariales; Hypoxylaceae.
GGCAGUGUGGCCGAGUGGUUAUGGCGCUGCGUUCAGGUCGACCCUGAAUACCAACUUCGCAGUGGAGCAAUCCGCGUGGGUUCGAGUCCCACCGCUGUCA